This is a long non-coding RNA of Papilio polytes (common Mormon), 215 nucleotides long. RefSeq lists it as uncharacterized. NCBI's taxonomy places the organism in Eukaryota, Metazoa, Arthropoda, Insecta, Lepidoptera, Papilionidae. The transcript has 3 exons. The record is from RefSeq and is a predicted model, not a curated record.
CUGCGCCACCCGGACCUCGCCCACCUCACCGCGCUCGUCGUGCACCCGCACCGGGGGCAGGUGUACUGGGCGCUGGGCGCGCGCGCGGCGGGCGGCGAGUGCGUGGAGGCAGCGCGCGGGGACGGCUCGGCGCGCCGCGUGCUCGUGCGCGCGCAGCACCACCCGGACUUCGCCUCGCUCGCCAGCCUGGCGCUGGACGCGGCGCACGCCCGCCU